RNAcentral lists this ribosomal RNA (667 nucleotides) under uncultured archaeon. RNAcentral describes it as "bacterial SSU rRNA". It matches the Rfam family "Archaeal small subunit ribosomal RNA", at positions 128 to 798 of the family's 1478-position model. The record is from RNAcentral.
AACCUUGGGAAACUGAGAAUAAUGCUUGAUAAAAGAUUAUGCCUGGAAGGGUUUAUCUUUCAAAGCUUCGGCGCACAAGGAUGGGACUGCGGUGGAUUAGGCUGAUGUUGAGGUAAAUGCUUAACAUACCUAUAAUCCAUAGGGGCUGUGAGAGCAGUAGCCUCCAGAUGGGUUCUGAGACAUUAACCCAGGCCCUACGGGGCGCAGCAGUUACGGAACCUUCACAAUGCACGAAAGUGUGAUGAGGGAAUCCUAAGUGCUAGCACUUUGUGUUAGCUUUUCUCAAGUCUAAACAGCUUGAGGAAUAAGUGGUGGGUAAGACCGUUGCCAGCCGCCGCGGUAAUAACGGCGCCACAAGUGGUGUCCAUGUAUAUUGGGUCUAAAGCAUCCGUAGCCGGUUUAUUAAGUCUUCUGUGAAAUCUUUUUGAAAACAAAGAGGCGUGCAGAGGAUACUAAUAAACUUGGGACUAGGAAGGGUUAGAGGUACUCUUAGGGUAGGGGUAAAAUCCUAUAAUCCUAAGGGGACCAUCUGUGGCGAAGGCGUCUAACUAGAACGGGUCCGACGGUGAGGGAUGAAAGCUAGGGGAGCAAAGCGGAUUAGAUACCCGCGUAGUCCUAGCUGUAAACGAUGCCCGUUAGGUAUUGGGUUUCUCUUGUAGAAAUCCAG